This 2092-nucleotide long non-coding RNA is filed under the name Fragaria vesca (wild strawberry). RNAcentral describes it as "long non-coding RNA (FVES_LNC001239)". Lineage: Eukaryota; Viridiplantae; Streptophyta; Magnoliopsida; Rosales; Rosaceae. The record is from RNAcentral.
GUUUUUAUAUUGCUGUGUUGGACAUCUGUGAGUCUGGAUUGCUGCCAUGUGUCUUGGUCGUUGACGUCUGGCGUCGAUGGCUUCUUCUCCACGAUCGGUUCGAGUGUAUCGAGUGUUCAUUGACCAUCUUCUUUGUCGCUCUUUGUUGUGAGAGAGAGAUGGGUUAUUCGUGAAAUGAAAAUUUGUAUGGCUCUUCUCAAUCAAAUGGUCGAGGUAAUGAUAUUUGUUCUGUAUAUGAUCGAUUCUGGGUUUCUAUUUCGUUUGCCCUGAUCGUAUUUACCAUUGUUUUGAUACCGAUGCGUUCAUUCAAUUGUUAAACAGGUGUCUGGAUUGCGAUCCAUAUUCCUUAUGAAAAAAGGUAUUGUGUUGUUGUAUCCAUGAACAAUCAACUUAUUUUAUUAUGCCUCAUUCUUGGUGCAAUUACAUGUUAUUUCUGUUCAGUUCAUGUUCAAAUUUUGCUCAAAUUUCAUUAACAGAUUAUACUCUUGGAUCCUAAUUAAAAUUGAAAUUGAGGAGUUUGUCAAUUUUUUUUUUGGCUCUAUUUAAGGGUGUUGAAAGUCUUUGAUGGUUCCAUUUGAUGGUACAUUUGCAAGAACUGCAUGUAUUAACAAUUUGUAUGUUUCAGAUCUCGACUUCGCUAUUCUGGACUCUGGAGAUGAAUCAUUUUGCAUUGGUUGAUGGAAAGCCAUAUCCUUUCGAUAUGAGAGGUGAGUUGGAUGACACUGGUGCUUUCAAGAACUUCAGUAAGUACAUUCACUUUACGUUGUUAUUACCAUGAAUCAUGAGCAUAUGAGCUAACAAAUCCUUUGAAGUUUGAACUAUAUCAGGAAAAGUUUAAGUGUUUGACAAAUCAAAUGAUGGAGCUAAUAUAUUAGAGUAUUUGCAGAAGAUUUGUUCAGUGAUAUUGGGGAAUUUUUGAUUUUGCAGGCUGGAAUUUUGUGUAAUGCGUGCAUUGGUUCAAUUUUCAGGUAUGCAUUUUAGUUGUUUAUUGGAAGAUUGAUGAUGUGUGGUGUUGAUGGAAAAAGUUAUCUGUACUUGACUUUGACUUAUUAAUAAAUCGGUUCUCUGCUAAAGAUAGUAACAAUUGUGUCAAAUUUUUACAAGAAUUUAUGACAGUACACAUUGUUCUGAUUUUUUCCAUUGAGCGUUGCCAAAAACAAUAUCCAAUUGAAUAGUAGGGAGUUCUUUGGUCAAUGAAUUGAGUACAGAAAAUUAGGGAGUUCUUUGGUCACUGUGGACUACAAAUUGGAAACAUUUGGUACUUCAGGUCUAAGAUUUCAAUAGUUUUAGAUAUAGCUUGAGGCCCAAUAUUGAAACAUUGAAAUCUUCAGUGAUCAUUAACUUACAAGGUCUGAUAGGAUUCAGUUCAAAAAGGGUCAUAUUAACAAAGGAAGUUUGGAAACUGACACCUGCAUUUCAAUAUCAAAAUGUAUGUCUAAAGUUUAGAUGAAUAUUAAAUACUUUCGAUUUUGAGUCUUAGCUGCUUGCAUUAUAAUACACGCUCAUUGCAUCCCUUUUUUGUACGUUUUGAUUUAGAUUUAUGCUGCUAUUGGAAAUGUUGGUGGAAGGGAGUUAGCUGUCAUCUUUUUAGUUCUUAUAUUUAUUUAGAACUACUCAGAAGGAUCUGUUUCAGAUGGAAGCAAUAGCUGAUAUUGUUGAUUAUUCAUGAGGGGUAAAAUACUCUUAACAUGUUUACUUAUCGUUUACUAUUUAUUUCAUUUACUGUUUGAAAAUGCUAGAUAUGUUUCUUCCACUGAAAAGUUCUCUGUGACCAGGAGACUACCAAAGGUUGCAGGAAAGUCUACAAUUGAACAUCAAGUUUGGAUAAUGAGUUUCUGAUAAUUUUGAAAUAUAUGUGAGAGCAUUAUAACUUUCAACAACAUUUAAACACUUUAAGACCAUUACUGGUUUUCAUAAAUGUGUUGUGGAGCUAUUCAAAAUAAUGAAGGACAAUAUUGAGCUUGCAGUUUUUGCAGAAGAAUUUUAAUGGGAAAUAUAUAUCAGUGUUGUCAAUGCGUAGGAAACUAUCAUUAAAGCUUUGAAUGGUGUUGAUCAUCCAUCUUUAACAAGUCUCUUCUAUUUACUUUGGCAG